Limulus polyphemus (Atlantic horseshoe crab) is the source of this 498-nucleotide long non-coding RNA. RefSeq lists it as uncharacterized. NCBI's taxonomy places the organism in Eukaryota, Metazoa, Arthropoda, Merostomata, Xiphosura, Limulidae. The record is from RefSeq and is a predicted model, not a curated record. The transcript is spliced from 4 exons.
UCCCUCUUAAUUUUUCGUCUCCAUCCCUAGAAUUUCCAUCCAGUUAGAGCCACUUCAAGCUGCAUCAGAAAUAAUCCAACGAAACAUGUUUUUCUGAGAGUUGUCAUCUUUUUAGUUAUAACAUCUGUUAUUUUUGUCGCCGGUCUCUUAAAUACGGUACUGUGCCCAUUAAAGUAUGAAGUACACGUGAAUUUAGUUGGCAAUGUUUCUACUGAGUAUCAAAGUCAUGCUACACUAUGUAGUCUAUAUCAGUACCAUCAGUUUACGGCAGUGCUUUCUUUGACCGUGGUAUCUGUUUUUCUAAGGGUCAACUUCCUAUUGAAACUCGUGUCCAUGGUUAGUGGGUUAACAGCGUUUGCAGUCGUCUUUGUGUUCGUUAGAUCUGAUUUAUUUGGUAAACCUUUGGAACAAGAUUAUGGAUUGACUGAGAUACCCCUCUACCUCCAUAUCAACAUAUUUUUGGUGUUCUUCCUCGUUCUUUUACAUGUAUUAGAUCGG